Long non-coding RNA from Oreochromis aureus, 466 nucleotides. The record is from Ensembl. Lineage: Eukaryota; Metazoa; Chordata; Actinopteri; Cichliformes; Cichlidae.
CGAUGGUAGCUGAGACGCAGCGGAGCGGAGGUGGAGUGCCCGGAUUAAAACAGGACAUAUUAGCAGCAUUUAACCUUCAGUUACUCUUUAUGUAGUUAGAUAGGAGUCAUGUUUCUUUUUAGCUGAAAAACCUUACACCAGAGAGAGAGACAGCCAGGUUCAUAAUGGAUAUAAGGAAGUUUUUUUAAAAAAACAGGAGCCACAUUCAGUCCAAAGAGGGAGAGAGGAAAGAGGGGAACAUGAGGAGAAAGUACAAGGUCAGGAAGAACCAGGUAAGAAAACAGACAGGGAAUAGUGACAGGCAAAACAGAAACUGUUAAACUGACAAAGAGAAAAAACCUGAUUUUACUCAGACAGUCUGGAAGUUUUUUCCUCCCUAUAUUAAAGCUGCUAUACAGAAUCUGCAAAACUAACUGGGUUGAAACAUUUUUGACCCUCUUUAACAACAUUCCAACAUAACAUUAUC